CCGCUUCAAUUUCGUGUUGGAACUUUAGUCACUUGGUUUGGAAUCGAAAUUUAAUUUGGAUUUGCUUCGCAAUUCGAAUGAAUUUGAGUGAAAAAUGUGUUAGUUGGAACUUGGAAUGAUGUAUGGUUGAAUCAAAUACGAAUGGAAUUCAAAAUGGUUUUGAAUUCAGAAGUAUUCAUUUUAAUUUAAUAAUUAGUUAUGGAUUGUUGCGUUUGAACUAAUUUGGAGUUGAAUUGAAUUUCAUUGCGAAAU
Molecule: long non-coding RNA, 252 nt
Filed under: Ananas comosus (pineapple)
Lineage: Eukaryota; Viridiplantae; Streptophyta; Magnoliopsida; Poales; Bromeliaceae
Description: long non-coding RNA (ACOM_LNC028851)
Source: RNAcentral